This 458-nucleotide ribosomal RNA is filed under the name uncultured bacterium. Its description in RNAcentral is "partial 16S ribosomal RNA". It matches the Rfam family "Bacterial small subunit ribosomal RNA", at positions 338 to 795 of the family's 1533-position model. The record is from RNAcentral.
CCUACGGGGGGCAGCAGUGGGGAAUAUUGCACAAUGGGGGAAACCCUGAUGCAGCGACGCCGCGUGAGUGAAGAAGUAAUUCGUUACGUAAAGCUCUAUCAGCAGGGAAGAAAUACUGACCUUACGGUCAGCAGACGGUACCUGAGUAAGAAGCCCCGGCUAAAUACGUGCCAGCAGCCGCGGUAAUACGUAGGUGGCAAGCGUUAUCCGGAUUUACUGGGGGUAAAGGGAGCGUAGACGGUGAGGCAAGUCUGGAGUGAAAUGCCGCAGCUUAACUGCGGAACUGCUGUGGAAACUGGCGAACUAGAGUGCGGGAGGGGUAAGCGGAAUUCCUGGUGUAGCGGUGAAAUGCGUAGAUAUUAGGAGGAACACCGGUGGCGAAGGCGGCUUACUGGACCGUAACUGACGUUGAGGCUCGAAGGCGUGGGGAGCAAACAGGAUUAGAUACCCUAGUAGUC